Non-coding RNA from Vicugna pacos (alpaca), 1118 nucleotides. Lineage: Eukaryota; Metazoa; Chordata; Mammalia; Artiodactyla; Camelidae. The record is from RefSeq and is a predicted model, not a curated record.
AGAUGCACUUUGUCUCCAGCAAGUUCCCUGGGUGGUCUCAGGGCAGCCCAGAGGUGACCGAACUGUGACGCUUUCCCCAGUGGUGAGGCAGCCCUGCACCACCCCCCACCUCGAGGGUCAGAGCUGGAGGACACGUGGCUCACCUGAGAUGCCGGCCCGGAUGGAAAGCUGCAGGAGUUGUCCAUUGGAGGUAAAGAUGACCACAAAACUAAAUCCAUCACGGCUCCUCUUGCAAACACAGCGAGGGGCUGGGGCAGAGGAAGGAAGCAUCUUUGCAGCCUGCAGUGAGGGGAGGAGGGCAGCUUCAUCCCUUUCUUUCUUGUUACCCAGCAAUGACCCCAACACUGGUCCUCCUCUUCCCCUCUGUCUCUAUGUCUGUCUGGCUUCUCUCUGCCCCUCUCUGUGGGCGUCUGUCCCCACUUGCGUCCUCUCUCUCUCUGUCUCUCUGCCACCGAGUCUCUGAGGUGCUCAUCAUCAUCUCCUGUCUCUCCCUUCUCUCCACCUCCUCCCAAUCUCCUGGGGCCCCUUCCCCAGCCUCCUGUAGAGACCUGUGUACCCCUCUGGGAAGGCUUGGAGUUUCAGGGCCAGGAGCUGCACAGAUAACCAGCAGGAGGACACAGGGUGUGAGCAUCCAGGUGGCACGCUGCCUGUGUAGGCGGUGGACCUGGGCCUGACAGCUCAUCCAUCGCCGAAGGCUGCUCCCAGCGUCAGGCACCAGCCUUCCCUCCACCCACCUCCUUUUCGCCAUGAUCAACAUUUCAAAAGCAAACGCACAGGCCCACAGAAGGCUCCGUAAUUCACCCAAGGGUUGCGCCUGCCUGCCGCUGGGAGACAAGCCCCAUUCUUCUCUCUGAGUGAGCUAUUUUUAAGAACGCUUCCCCCUCCUCGCUUCCAGUUCCCCCUUUCAGUCCAAGCGCUGAAUUAGAUUCUUUCUUCAUUUUGUAGGCUCCCCCUCUCUGUUAUUAUAUAAAACCAUUUCAGCCCUUAAGGAGUUGGCAUCUGACAUCCGCAGCUUCUGAAUCCCCAGAACAGAGAAGGGAAGGCGUAAACAGAAGGGAGGGAAAGAAAUGUUCUGUUUCCGCUCCAGCAACAUGAAUCGUCAGAGAGUUAAAUAGCAA